This is a long non-coding RNA of Carya illinoinensis, 469 nucleotides long. RefSeq lists it as uncharacterized. The record is from RefSeq and is a predicted model, not a curated record. The transcript has 4 exons. Lineage: Eukaryota; Viridiplantae; Streptophyta; Magnoliopsida; Fagales; Juglandaceae.
GGCAUCACCAGUCAUGGUAUUUAUUUAUGCCCCCAAAAUCAGGAGGCCCAUAAAAGCUGCAUUGGCUGCUGCCUCAGAGCAUCUUGCUGGUUUGCUUCCUCUUCAUCUUGUCUACAGUCAAGCUCAUGGAACUGCUAUUGAGGAUUGGAUAUGGUCGGUAGGAUGCAACCCUUUUUCUGUUACUUCUCAAGGCUGGCAUAUAUCACAGUAUUAGUCUGAUACAAUUGCCCGGAGCUAUAUCAUCACAACGCUUGAAGAGUCUAGUCAACUGGUUAAUUCAGCCAUUCAUCUUCUAGUCAUGGAGCAUACAAUGGAAAAUACCUUUCAACUCUUUCAGGGUCAGGAGCGUGAGCUAGUGAACAAAUAUAAUUACGUUGUAAGCUUGUGGAGAAGGGUUUCAACUGUUACUGGAGAAUUGCGUUAUGUGGAUGCCCUAAGGCUGCUAUAUAUUCUAGAGGAAGGAUCGAAA